UUGUAGGGGCGCAAGGACAUU
RNAcentral lists this non-coding RNA (21 nucleotides) under Arabidopsis thaliana (thale cress). The record is from RNAcentral. Lineage: Eukaryota; Viridiplantae; Streptophyta; Magnoliopsida; Brassicales; Brassicaceae.